GGCACUUUGGCGGAGUGGUUAACGCGCUGCCCUGCUAUCUUUCCUCAAAGCUAGCUGCCAGGCAGUUCCUUCGGGAGCGUGUGUUCGAAUCACACAGGUGUCG
Molecule: transfer RNA, 103 nt
Filed under: Acidomyces richmondensis BFW
Lineage: Eukaryota; Fungi; Ascomycota; Dothideomycetes; Mycosphaerellales; Teratosphaeriaceae
Rfam family: tRNA
About the family: Transfer RNA (tRNA) molecules are approximately 80 nucleotides in length. Their secondary structure includes four short double-helical elements and three loops (D, anti-codon, and T loops).
Source: Rfam by way of RNAcentral